This 614-nucleotide ribosomal RNA is filed under the name Rhombosepion elegans. Its description in RNAcentral is "partial 28S ribosomal RNA". It matches the Rfam family "Eukaryotic large subunit ribosomal RNA", at positions 666 to 946 of the family's 3401-position model. Lineage: Eukaryota; Metazoa; Mollusca; Cephalopoda; Sepiida; Sepiidae. The record is from RNAcentral.
CCGACGAGUCCUGGCCGUUCGCGAGUCGUAGGGGCCGGGACGAACCCCGAAGGCGUAGCGAAAGCGAGAGAGCGCGUGGAAGGGCACCGGACCGGGAGAGGUGUCGCGGCGAAAGCGGUUCCGGCGGGGAGUCCUCUUCCUUCCGCCGCCUAGCAGUGCCCGAUCCCGCCGGCGUUUGCCGUUUACGUCCCGUCCCGCUUCGCCCACUUUUCUCGCCCGUUCCGAUGUGUUCGGAUUUUCCCCUCUGAGGGGAGAUGAGUGAACGUUCGGGCGUCUGUGGUGGGAAGAGACUUACGGGCGGAGUGGUCGGCGGGGUGACGACGGUAUAUCCUCCCACCGCCCGUCGGUGAAAUCCCGCGGCUUGAACUAGUCACGAUUUAAUCGUCGAGUUUAGGCCCUGCGCGCGGGCGCAUCACCCCCGGGUCGGUAAUUUUUUUUCCGAGUACAACUCGGCCGACUCUGGUGUAGCGAGCGGCCAGGGACCCGAAAGAUGGCGAUCCACGCCCGGUCGGGAUGAAGCCAGAGGAAACUCUGGUGGAAGUCCGAAGCGCCUCUGACGUGCAAAUCGAUCGUCGGAACCGGGUGUAGGGGCGAAAGACCAAUCGAGCCGUCUA